Non-coding RNA from Parelaphostrongylus tenuis, 71 nucleotides. NCBI's taxonomy places the organism in Eukaryota, Metazoa, Nematoda, Chromadorea, Rhabditida, Metastrongylidae. The record is from the annotation of a GenBank genome assembly.
GCCUCAAUGAUGUAGUGGUAACACUAGCCUCUGGUAUAGGUGAAACGCGGGUUCAACUCCUGUCUGCGGUG